CAAUAAGAGUGUUUAUGGCACUCUUCAAAAAAUCCAUACCCACCUUGUGUGCAACGUAAGAAGAAAAAAAGAAGAUGCGAGUCAUGGGGAAACCCAAGUCUUGCUCCCUUUCUUUUUUUCUUUUCCACAUACACCUUUCUAUUAGUUUCCUAUUGUCCUGAAGCUGUUAGAGAAUGACUAAUUCUUAAACA
Molecule: unclassified non-coding RNA, 191 nt
Filed under: soil metagenome
Description: partial internal transcribed spacer 1
Source: RNAcentral